AUAUUAUACUAGCACUAAUGCAUCGGAUCCCAUCUGUACUCCGAAGUUCAACAUGCUUGGGCGAGAAUAGUACUAGGAUGGGUGACCCCCUGGGAAGUCCUCAUAUUGCACCCG
RNAcentral lists this ribosomal RNA (114 nucleotides) under Zingiber officinale. The record is from RNAcentral. Lineage: Eukaryota; Viridiplantae; Streptophyta; Magnoliopsida; Zingiberales; Zingiberaceae.